RNAcentral lists this long non-coding RNA (226 nucleotides) under Bos taurus (domestic cattle). RNAcentral describes it as "long non-coding RNA NONBTAT007632". The record is from RNAcentral. Lineage: Eukaryota; Metazoa; Chordata; Mammalia; Artiodactyla; Bovidae.
CCAUUUAAAAGCAGUUUCAAGCCAUUAUUUUGGAAUGUAAAUAUUAAGUACACAAAAUGUUGACUGAUAUAACUUGCUUUAAAAUAUGGUGUUGAAUUAUUAGUUUUAUAUGACAAAAGAGAAUUUGUUUUAAAUUAAAUCUCUCCUACCAUAGGAUAGGUAAUUCUCACAGCUGCUCAAGAAUGUAGUAAUUAAUAGUUUCAUUUAUUUUUGGCAAACCUGCAAA